AAUCCAUGAUUUGGGCACUUUCUCACCAUAGAUUUGAAUCUAUCCCAAGAUUCAGAAAGAUUUUCCCCAACAGUUUGAACAAAAGUGGAAAAUGUUGUUUUCAGAUC
Molecule: small nucleolar RNA, 107 nt
Organism: Lupinus angustifolius (narrow-leaved blue lupine)
Lineage: Eukaryota; Viridiplantae; Streptophyta; Magnoliopsida; Fabales; Fabaceae
Rfam family: Plant small nucleolar RNA R71
About the family: R71 is a member of the C/D box family of snoRNAs containing the C (UGAUGA) and D (CUGA) box motifs. Multiple nearly identical copies of this snoRNA have been identified in Arabidopsis, and it is thought to function as a 2'-O-ribose methylation guide for 18S ribosomal RNA.
Source: Rfam